CGGAACACGUACACAACCUUCCGAUAAGUGGGGAAUAGCCCAGAGAAAUUUGGAUUAACACCCCGUAACAUAUAGAGUAGGCAUCUUCUUUAUAUUAUAGCUUCGGCGCUUAUUGAUGGGUGUGCGUCUGAUUAGGUAGUUGGCGGGGUAACGGCCCACCAAGCCUACGAUCAGUAGCUGAUGUGAGAGCAUGAUCAGCCACACGGGCACUGAGACACGGGCCCG
RNAcentral lists this ribosomal RNA (225 nucleotides) under uncultured bacterium. RNAcentral describes it as "partial 16S ribosomal RNA". It matches the Rfam family "Bacterial small subunit ribosomal RNA", at positions 109 to 334 of the family's 1533-position model. The record is from RNAcentral.